UCAGCCGCAUGCACCCCAACCCUUUUCCCUCUUCCCUCUCUCGAUUACACACCUGCCACCGGAGAAACUCUGUUCGGCCGGCACCGUUCACCGGCGACCUCUCCGUCGCACACCCAUGAUCUCCUCCUUCUCCACCGGCCAUGAACACAACUCUGCCUCCCUCCUCUCCCCUCGGUUUCACGGCGCGAAGUCCACAGCCGGUCACUGAUAAUACACCGAUAAUGGCCGACAGUGGUCGUGGUGCUGUUUUCUAAGCCGCGACCCAGCCCCGUCUUUCCCUUGUCCUCUCUCUUGACCCCUCUCAGGUCCGGUCAAUGCUGGUUAUCUUUAUGGCGACCCACCGGUAACGGAAUGAUAACGAUGAUGAUGAACUACAGACGAUGAUGACGAUGUUGUGAUGAAUGGUGAAGGAUGACAACGACGGUGGUGACUAUGCCAGGUAAGUUCCAGCUUCGGGUUCGAGUUCGGUUUGGUUUCGGUUCGUUCAGGAUGGUCAGACUCCAGCGGGUUCGUUUCGAAGCGGGUCGGGUUCGACUCAGGUAACCAGUCAGCAGAUUCGGUUCGGAUCUCGUCUGGUUCAGUCUCGGGUCGCACAACCACAUGUUCCUCACCAUUCGGUUAGUUUACACCAAUGUUGGUACCUGUGUUUUGGUCUUGUGUAAUAGUUGGCAGUUUGUUCGAUUCAUGUAAUACAUCGUGACCAGCUGCUUGUUUAUAAUCUCAUCCUUUUGUGCUAUGUGUUGGAGUAAAAAUCAACGUGUGUCUAUUUGUUUUGAUUUGAUGAAUAAAAAAAAUGAGUAUAAACUGUUACUGGUGAUGAUUCGGUUCUAGAACUAGGCUGUGGUUGGUAGAAAUAUGAUGAUAAUGUUCGAGUUAGGUGUCUUGACUUAAGUAGGCAAUUGCUUAAUUUAAUCUAAAGGAGUGGAGGCUAGUCAAUGAUGGUGGCCUACUGGUAAUCGUCUAAAUACUACUAAUAAACAUAUGAUUCGAUGAUGAUGGAAUAAAUGCCUUAAAUUGAUCCAACGUGGAACAUGAAAACAUUGGUGGUGAUUAUUUAUGAUUUUAUUAGAAAUAGGAAUUCUCAUGUAUCAAAAGAAGUAACUGUUUGAUCUCUUAACUGUUACGUUAAGCAUGAUUAGUAUUAAAUUAUAAAGGCUUGUGCAUGACAAACUAAAUUGAUCCGAUCCGAUUGAUUAAUUAUAACAUUAAUGUUUAAAGGUUCGAUAGCAUGAUGUUCUGUUUGAUCCGAGUUACGUGUAGAACAUGUUAUUUGCUUCUAUUAUUGGCUCGAGGGCAAUUAGGGUUCAUACAAAUAAUCUUAAUGAUUGACUUGGUUUGAUCUAUGUGGGGUGUUGUUAAUUGCCGUUAAUGAUUUGAUAUUUAUUAGGGUCCAUAUAAAGAUAAGCUAUUUGAUUGUGCCGUUAGGAAAUACGAACUUGCGACUUGUGAGUGUUUAUGGCUUGUACACUUGCUGUGAUAGUAGUAAUGAUAUGUGAUGUACUUGUUUGCUACUUGUGUAAUACGUGAUAACCUACGUGGUGCAUGAUGAAUAUAAACUGAUCGUUGUUGGUACACAAUGGUAGGACGUGUUUGAUGGACUAUUAAGCAAGUAACUAACCUUACCGAGCAAACCAAGGUGAGUUCACACUUUCUACAAGGCAUGGGAUUCCCAUGGGUUGGGAAUGGGUAAAGGAUUUAAACUGAAACUGCAUGAUCUCCUGGUUUGGGACACGUACACACCCUCUUUAUUGAAGGGUGACAACACGUGAUAAGAAUAUAAUCGGAACCUGCGUAAUCUCCUGGUUUGGGGAUUACGUACACACCCUCUUUAUUGAAGGGUGACAACACGGAUACUAGACCAAAACUCUCUAUCAUGAAGUCCCUCCUUUUAGAUCGACUUAAUCGCCGGGCCAAUGGCGAGCGGGUCAUUAGUUAGAUAGCGCUAUUUAGGUUUGACAAGCCUCACACCGUGCCGCAGAGGACGGGCGUGAACUAAUGGAUCUGGGCACGUCGAUGAUGAUAGACAUUGACAUUAGGGCACCAACUUACUUCAGUCAGUGGUCGAUAUGGUAAACGGGUCUAGUGGUUCACAUGGGGAAGCCCCCACUGGUUAUGGUUUGGGAAGAAGGAAUUGGUUAAUCAUAUUUGCAACUAUGGGGUAACCCCCACGACAAGUAAGCCAGCUAAAGAAUAACUAUGUUUUUGAAACAACUUUAAACGAACACCCAACUGUGAACUCGCUCAACUUUGUUGUUGACUCGUUGUUACAUGCCUUGCAGGUCUAUAUGCUUAUAUUAGUUGCAACUUGCUGUCUGGGAAACUGGAGUGGUCAUGGGUCGAGAUACAUGGAAUCGCAAUACAAGCUCAAUGGUUUAUGUACUCUUGGUCUACUAAACACUUAACAAAUGAUUUAUGCUUCCGCUGUACAAAAUGAAUGAUAUGUAACGUUUGUAACGCUUUAUAUUAAUAAAUGAAAGUU
RNAcentral lists this long non-coding RNA (2479 nucleotides) under Helianthus annuus (common sunflower). RNAcentral describes it as "hypothetical non coding rna". The record is from RNAcentral. Lineage: Eukaryota; Viridiplantae; Streptophyta; Magnoliopsida; Asterales; Asteraceae.